This 747-nucleotide ribosomal RNA is filed under the name uncultured bacterium. Its description in RNAcentral is "bacterial SSU rRNA". It matches the Rfam family "Bacterial small subunit ribosomal RNA", at positions 1 to 746 of the family's 1533-position model. The record is from RNAcentral.
CGAUUAGGGUUCGAUUCUGGCUCAGGAUGAACGCUAGCGGCAGGCUUAACACAUGCAAGUCGAGGGGCAGCAUGUCCAGCAAUGGAUGAUGGCGACCGGCGGAAGGGUGCGUAACGCGUGAGCAACAUGCCCUAUACAGGGAGAUACACCAGGGAAACUUGGUCUAAUAUCCCAUAGCAUUCAUUGAAGGCAUCUUUAAUGAAUUAAAGCUUCGGUGGUAUAGGAUUGGCUCGCGCGACAUUAGCCAGAUGGUGAGGUAACGGCUCACCAUAGCAAUGAUGUCUAGGGGUUUUGAGAGGAAGGCCCCCCACACUGGGACUGAGACACGGCCCAGACUCCUACGGGAGGCAGCAGUGAGGAAUAUUGGACAAUGGAUGGAAAUCUGAUCCAGCCAUGCCGCGUGCAGGAAGACGGCCUUAUGGGUUGUAAACUGCUUUUAUACGGGAGCAAUAAGGGUUACGAGUAAUCCGAUGAGAGUACUGUAUGAAUAAGGAUCGGCUAACUCCGUGCCAGCAGCCGCGGUAAUACGGAGGAUCCGAGCGUUAUCCGGAAUUAUUGGGUUUAAAGGGUGCGUAGGCGGCCAUUUAAGUCAGCGGUGAAAUUUUGCAGCUUAACUGUAACAGUGCCGUUGAUACUGUUUGGCUAGGAUUUGGUUGUAGUGUGCGGAAUGUGUGGUGUAGCGGUGAAAUGCUUAGAUAUCACACAGAACACCGAUUGCGAAGGCAGCACACUAAGUCAUUAUGACGC